AGUGAACGCUGGCGGUAGGCCUAACACAUGCAAGUCGAACGGCAGCACAGUAAGAGCUUGCUCUUACGGGUGGCGAGUGGCGGACGGGUGAGGAAUACAUCGGAAUCUACUUUUUCGUGGGGGAUAACGUAGGGAAACUUACGCUAAUACCGCAUACGACCUACGGGUGAAAGCAGAGGAUCUUCGGACCUUGCGCGAUUGAAUGAGCCGAUGUCGGAUUAGCUAGUUGGCGGGGUAAAGGCCCACCAAGGCGACGAUCCGUAGCUGGUCUGAGAGGAUGGUCAGCCACACUGGAACUGAGACACGGUCCAGACUCCUACGGGAGGCAGCAGUGGGGAAUAUUGGACAAUGGGCGCAAGCCUGAUCCAGCCAUACCGCGUGGGUGAAGAAGGCCUUCGGGUUGUAAAGCCCUUUUGUUGGGAAAGAAAAGCAGCAGGUUAAUACCCCGCUGUUCUGACGGUACCCAAAGAAUAAGCACCGGCUAACUUCGUG
Molecule: ribosomal RNA, 492 nt
Filed under: uncultured bacterium
Lineage: Bacteria
Description: partial 16S ribosomal RNA
Rfam family: Bacterial small subunit ribosomal RNA
Source: RNAcentral